RNAcentral lists this ribosomal RNA (1021 nucleotides) under actinobacterium kmd_327. RNAcentral describes it as "bacterial SSU rRNA". It matches the Rfam family "Bacterial small subunit ribosomal RNA", at positions 60 to 1096 of the family's 1533-position model. The record is from RNAcentral. Lineage: Bacteria; Bacillati; Actinomycetota; Actinomycetes.
AGUCGAACGAUGAUCCCAGCUUGCUGGGGGAUUAGUGGCGAACGGGUGAGUAACACGUGAGUAACCUGCCCUUGACUCUGGGAUAAGCCUGGGAAACUGGGUCUAAUACCGGAUACGACCAUCUGGCGCAUGUCAUGGUGGUGGAAAGCUUUUGUGGUUUUGGAUGGACUCGCGGCCUAUCAGCUUGUUGGUGGGGUAAUGGCCUACCAAGGCGACGACGGGUAGCCGGCCUGAGAGGGUGACCGGCCACWCUGGGACUGAGACACGGCCCAGACUCCUACGGGAGGCAGCAGUGGGGAAUAUUGCACAAUGGGCGAAAGCCUGAUGCAGCGACGCCGCGUGAGGGAUGACGGCCUUCGGGUUGUAAACCUCUUUCAGUAGGGAAGAAGCGAAAGUGACGGUACCUGCAGAAGAAGCGCCGGCUAACUACGUGCCAGCAGCCGCGGUAAUACGUAGGGCGCAAGCGUUAUCCGGAAUUAUUGGGCGUAAAGAGCUCGUAGGCGGUUUGUCGCGUCUGCUGUGAAAGACCGGGGCUCAACUCCGGUUCUGCAGUGGGUACGGGCAGACUAGAGUGCAGUAGGGGAGACUGGAAUUCCUGGUGUAGCGGUGAAAUGCGCAGAUAUCAGGAGGAACACCGAUGGCGAAGGCAGGUCUCUGGGCUGUAACUGACGCUGAGGAGCGAAAGCAUGGGGAGCGAACAGGAUUAGAUACCCUGGUAGUCCAUGCCGUAAACGUUGGGCACUAGGUGUGGGGGACAUUCCACGUUUUCCGCGCCGUAGCUAACGCAUUAAGUGCCCCGCCUGGGGAGUACGGCCGCAAGGCUAAAACUCAAAGGAAUUGACGGGGGCCCGCACAAGCGGCGGAGCAUGCGGAUUAAUUCGAUGCAACGCGAAGAACCUUACCAAGGCUUGACAUGAACCGGAAAGACCUGGAAACAGGUGCCCGCUUGCGGUCGGNUUACAGUNGUGCAUGGUUGUCGUCAGCUCGUGUCGUGAGANGNUGGGUUAAGUCCNGCANCGAG